The sequence is a transfer RNA, 77 nucleotides long. It matches the Rfam family "tRNA". Rfam says of the family: Transfer RNA (tRNA) molecules are approximately 80 nucleotides in length.
GGGCCAGUAGCUCAGUUGGUUAGAGCACAGAGCUUAUACCUCUGCGGUCGUUGGUUCGAGUCCAACCUGGCCCACCA